GUAGUCUGNAACCCGACUACAUGAAGCUGGAAUCGCUAGUAAUCGCAGAUCAGAAUGCUGCGGUGAAUACGUUCCCGGGUCUUGUACACACCGCCCGUCACACCAUGGGAGUUGGAAAUGCCCGAAGCCAGUGACCCAACCGUAAGGAGGGAGCUGUCGAAGGUGGAGCCGAUGACUGGGGUGAAGUCGUAACAAGGUAUC
Molecule: ribosomal RNA, 201 nt
Filed under: uncultured bacterium
Lineage: Bacteria
Description: partial 16S ribosomal RNA
Rfam family: Bacterial small subunit ribosomal RNA
Source: RNAcentral